CCUACGGGAUACAGCAGUAGGGAAUAUUGCUCAAUGGGGGAAACCCUGAAGCAGCAACGCCGCGUGGAGGAUGAAGGUUUUCGGAUUGUAAACUCCUUUUGUUAGAGAAGAUAAUGACGGUAUCUAACGAAUAAGCACCGGCUAACUCCGUGCCAGCAGCCGCGGUAAUACGGAGGGUGCAAGCGUUACUCGGAAUCACUGGGCGGAAAGAGCGCGUAGGCGGGAUAACAAGUCAGAUGUGAAAUCCUAUGGCUUAACCAUAGAACUGCAUUUGAAACUGUUAUUCUAGAGUAUGGGAGAGGUAGGUGGAAUUCUUGGUGUAGGGGUAAAAUCCGUAGAGAUCAAGAGGAAUACUCAUUGCGAAGGCGACCUGCUAGAACAUAACUGACGCUGAUGCGCGAAAGCGUGGGGAGCAAACAGGAUUAGAUACCCUUGUAGUC
Molecule: ribosomal RNA, 440 nt
Filed under: uncultured bacterium
Lineage: Bacteria
Description: partial 16S ribosomal RNA
Rfam family: Bacterial small subunit ribosomal RNA
Source: RNAcentral